AGAGUUUGAUCAUGGCUCAGGAUCAACGCUGGCGGCGUGCCUAAAACAUGCAAGUCGGACGCGUGCCUUCGGGCACGAGUGGCGGACGGCUGAGUAACACGUGGGUGACCUGCCCACCGGUGGGGGAUAACCGCCCGAAAGGGAGGCUAAGACCGCAUGCGCUCUGGCUCGCAGGAGGCAGAGGAAAGCUGCAAAGCGCCGGUGGAGGGGCCCGCGGCCGAUUAGCUAGUUGGUGGGGUAACGGCCUACCAAGGCGACGAUCGGUAGCCGGUCUGAGAGGAUGGUCGGCCAGACUGGGACUGAGACACGGCCCAGACUCCUACGGGAGGCAGCAGUCGGGAAUCUUGCGCAAUGGGCGAAAGCCUGACGCAGCAACACCGUGUGGGCGACGAAGGCCUUCGGGUCGUAAAGCCCUGUUGUUGGGGACGAAGGGCGAAGGGUUAAUAGCCCCUAGCCUGACGGUACCCUUCGAGGAAGCCCCGGCUAACUACGUGCCAGCAGCCGCGGUAAUACGUAGGGGGCGAGCGUUGUCCGGAAUUAUUGGGCGUAAAGAGCGUGUAGGCGGUUCGGUAAGUCUGCCGUGAAAACCCGGGGCUCAACCCCGGGCGUGCGGUGGAUACUGCCGGGCUAGAGGGUGGUAGAGGCGAGUGGAAUUCCCGGUGUAGCGGUGAAAUGCGCAGAUAUCGGGAGGAACACCAGUAGCGAAGGCGGCUCGCUGGGCCAUUCCUGACGCUGAGACGCGAAAGCUAGGGGAGCGAACAGGAUUAGAUACCCCCGUAGUCC
RNAcentral lists this ribosomal RNA (783 nucleotides) under uncultured Rubrobacter sp. RNAcentral's name for it is "bacterial SSU rRNA". It matches the Rfam family "Bacterial small subunit ribosomal RNA", at positions 8 to 796 of the family's 1533-position model. Lineage: Bacteria; Bacillati; Actinomycetota; Rubrobacteria; Rubrobacterales; Rubrobacteraceae. The record is from RNAcentral.